Molecule: RNA transcript, 1853 nt
Organism: Salvia miltiorrhiza (redroot sage)
Lineage: Eukaryota; Viridiplantae; Streptophyta; Magnoliopsida; Lamiales; Lamiaceae
Exons: 10
Source: RefSeq, a predicted model, not a curated record
UCCGUAGCUAAAUAGUAGUUAAAAUAUGUUGAAUUUUUUGUUUUAUUUUUUAAAUUAGAUUUCCGUUGUUAAAGAGUCGUUAAUAUUUAUCUAAAUAGUUCUCUGCAUCUUCUCUAGUUUAGCUCACGCCCCCUUUGCCGUCUAUCUCUGAAAUAAGCUCCCGCGCCGUCGUUCUCCCCGCCGCGCGCUUCGAUCUCCGCCGUCUUCUCCGCCGCCCGCUCCGAUAUCCGCCGUCUAUCUCUGCAUCUUCUCCCCAUCGUCGCCUUCAGUUGCUGCUGCCAUUCCUGGAACAAUGAGAGAACGUCGGCGCCAAGAACGUGAAGCAGCCUCUACCGGAACUGUUGGAUCAUCUUAGUCAAUAAGUUAGAACAACUUUAGAGGAAAUUAGACAAUUGUGCUCAUAUCUUGUUGAUUUGAAAAGAGCUUCCGCUGAAGAAAUGUGCCGAAGUGUUUAUGCAAAUUAUACAGCUUUUAUUCGGUUGGAAAAGAAUGCCAAUUCAACGAUUCCAUCUAUUCCUGGUUGGCAGGGAAGAUAGCAACUGAGCUUCCGUAAUUUCUUUGAUUUCGAAGACUAAAGAUAUCCACUCCCUCUUUUUUCUCUUUUAGAACGAACAUUUGAAAUAAAGAGUCUUGUCCUGUGCCCGUUUGCUAAUUGCUAGCUGCUGUGCAAUCGUCGUUGUGCUCUUACAUCAUUGUGUCCAGGAAAUAUGAGUUUUGAUCGAGGGUGGAUGUAUAGAUGUGUUGCGAACGGAAGUCUUACCCAGGAGUUCGUUGAGGGUGUUGAAAUCUUUGUUCAUUAUGCAUUGUCAAUUGGAAGAGUUUGUCGCCCAGCACCAUAGACAUAUAUUAUGAUGAGUUUAAGAAAUCUUUUACAUGGGAUGGGGAAGUUUACAGCUCGGAUGUCAUUCGUAAGACAUGGAUCUCACAAGCUAGGCAUGCUUAUAAAGAUUUUGUCCAUGGAUGUAAGGUUAUUAUCGAUGAAGGGAGCAGACCUCAAUUUCUUCAUAAAGACAUUGUUACAAAGUGGAAGGAAUAUUGGACGACACCUGAAUUCCAAGUUAAGUCGCAGCAGGCGAGCAAGAAUCGUCGAUCUGAGCCUGCUGGUCCAGGUACAGGAUUAUCUAUCCACUAUGGAGGCUCUCGCAGACUCGCAGUGCUAUUAGUCAUGCUGAGCAUGUGGCUCGAGAGAAGAACAUUUCUAUCGCAGAUGCACAUUAUGAUACUUUCAUGAGGAUGCACUUUAAGAAAGGACAGUUCUAUGGACGGGCACAGACUCAGGGUCUUGAGAUACAUAGUCGAGUCGAGGAAUUACGCUCUACUCUUGGACGAGAUGUCACUCCAGAUGAGGUCAGUCAGAUCUAUAGGGAGGUGGUGACGCCAGAUCCGAAGGGGCGUAGACUCGGAUUGGGCAUUAUGUCUCAGAUGCGUUCCACUGGUUCGACGAGCACUCAUUCGACGUGCUCGUCUCAAUUUCCUUCAGCAGCAGUCUCAGCUCAGAUUGCACAGCUCCAGACAGAGUUAGAGCAGACACAACAGAGAGAGGCUACUCUACAAGCUACUCUACAGGCUGAGGUGCAGGAGCGACGACGAAAAGAAGCAGAAAUGGAGGCUGAGGUGCAGGAGAGACGACGAAAAGAAGCAGAAAUGGAGACUAGGCAGUUGGAAAUGCAACAACAAAUUUCUCAGCUUAUGAAAUUCUUCCAAUCAUCCUCAGGGUCGUUCCCCCGUUCCUCGUCUCCACCCUAAAUACAUGUUUUGUACUUAUUAUAUAUUGUUAUUAGAUUUUUAUUUAGAUGUUUAUGAAUUUAUUACACUAACAUGUAUCCUUUAUGAUAUUUUAUUAGUUUGAUUUU